RNAcentral lists this ribosomal RNA (484 nucleotides) under uncultured bacterium. RNAcentral describes it as "partial 16S ribosomal RNA". It matches the Rfam family "Bacterial small subunit ribosomal RNA", at positions 30 to 507 of the family's 1533-position model. The record is from RNAcentral.
AUUGAACGCUGGCGGCAGGCCUAACACAUGCAAGUCGAGCGGUAGAGAGAUGCUUGCUUCUCUUGAGAGCGGCGGACGGGUGAGUAAUGCCUAGGAAUCUGCCUGGUAGUGGGGGAUAACGUUCGGAAACGGACGCUAAUACCGCAUACGUCCUACGGGAGAAAGCAGGGGACCUUCGGGCCUUGCGCUAUCAGAUGAGCCUAGGUCGGAUUAGCUAGUUGGUGGGGUAAUGGCUCACCAAGGCGACGAUCCGUAACUGGUCUGAGAGGAUGAUCAGUCACACUGGAACUGAGACACGGUCCAGACUCCUACGGGAGGCAGCAGUGGGGAAUAUUGGACAAUGGGCGAAAGCCUGAUCCAGCCAUGCCGCGUGUGUGAAGAAGGUCUUCGGAUUGUAAAGCACUUUAAGUUGGGAGGAAGGGCAGUAAAUUAAUACUUUGCUGUUUUGACGUUACCGACAGAAUAAGCACCGGCUAACUCUGUG